This 544-nucleotide long non-coding RNA is filed under the name Phascolarctos cinereus (koala). RNAcentral describes it as "lncRNA (ENSPCIG00000036632.1)". The record is from RNAcentral. Lineage: Eukaryota; Metazoa; Chordata; Mammalia; Diprotodontia; Phascolarctidae.
CCCAGGUUAAGAAUUCCCGAUAGCUAGAUGGGACCUUAGGCAAGUCGAUUCACCAUUCUGAGCUCGUAUCCCAAUCUGUCAAAUGGAGCCCAUAAUCCCCGUCCUUCUCCCCAAGCUGUCCUAAAAAUCUAAGUCCAGAAUGCCUUCGAUAAGUCUUUGUAAACUUUGUAAAAAGCCCCGGGCUAUUAACUCUUCAUUAUUCUUUAAGUGCCAAGUCCCAGUAACUCAACUGGGCCGACCCCAGUCCCAAGGGCCUGAGGAAGCAGAGGCAGCUUGGAGACAGCUGGUGGCACCAGCACAGAGGGUACAGUUAAAUUUCCAUCGCUGCUGGUCUUUACGGUUCCAAGGAAGGACCUAAUAAUACACAAGUAACUGCAAAGCACGAAAUUUCUGAAGAAGUAGGAUCACUGGUGGCAAUAUUCAGACAACCAAAGGAUGAUCCCCAAGUACUUAAGUUUGGAGAAACCUGUAAACAUGAGCACAGAUUAGGAAGGCAGAAAGAAAACUUUGAGAAACAAACUCUGAGGAACUCUCAUCCUCAGGA